RNAcentral lists this ribosomal RNA (468 nucleotides) under uncultured bacterium. Its description in RNAcentral is "partial 16S ribosomal RNA". It matches the Rfam family "Bacterial small subunit ribosomal RNA", at positions 28 to 507 of the family's 1533-position model. The record is from RNAcentral.
GACGAACGCUGGCGGCGUGCUUAACACAUGCAAGUCGAACGGAAAGGCCCUGCUUUUGUGGGGUGCUCGAGUGGCGAACGGGUGAGUAACACGUGAGUAACCUGCCCUUGACUUUGGGAUAACUUUAGGAAACUGGGGCUAAUACCGGAUAGGAGCUCCUGCUGCAUGGUGGGGGUUGGAAAGUUUCGGCGGUUGGGGCUGGACUCGCGGCUUAUCAGCUUGUUGGUGGGGUAGUGGCUUACCAAGGUUUUGACGGGUAGCCGGCCUGAGAGGGUGACCGGCCACAUUGGGACUGAGAUACGGCCCAGACUCCUACGGUAGGCAGCAGUGGGGAAUAUUGCACAAUGGGCGGAAGCCUGAUGCAGCAACGCCGCGUGCGGGAUGACGGCCUUCGGGUUGUAAACCGCUUUCGCCUGUGACGAAGCGUGAGUGACGGUAAUGGGUAAAGAAGCACCGGCUAACUACGUG